AAGUAUUAAUGGCAAAAUUAGAGAAAUCUAAUGACGCAAAGCUAUAGGAGCUAAAGUUAAAAAACUAUGCUAGCCAGUUGCUAAC
Molecule: regulatory RNA element, 85 nt
Organism: Clostridium butyricum
Lineage: Bacteria; Bacillati; Bacillota; Clostridia; Eubacteriales; Clostridiaceae
Rfam family: c-di-GMP-I riboswitch aptamer
About the family: GEMM was predicted in a large-scale screen for bacterial structured RNA regulatory elements. Genes associated with GEMM are involved in a diverse array of functions, including chemotaxis regulation, signal transduction, secretion and chitin.
Source: Rfam